AAGGCAUCCACUUUGGACGCCUCCCUAGUAAUGUGUUGUUUUAUACUUCCGGACCGAAGCGCCGGGGCAUGAAAUAUUUUUUUCACCCAUGUCUUUUGCGCACUUGUUGUUUCCUGGGCGGGUUCGCCCGCCACCAGGACCAAACCAUAAACCUUUUUUUUAUGCAGUUGCAAUCAGCGUCAGUAAAAACAAUGUAAUUAUUACAACUUUCAACAACGGAUCUCUUGGUUCUGGCAUCGAUGAAGAACGCAGCGAAAUGCGAUACGUAGUGUGAAUUGCAGAAUUCAGUGAAUCAUCGAAUCUUUGAACGCACAUUGCGCCCUUUGGUAUUCCAAAGGGCAUGCCUGUUCGAGCGUCAUUUGUACCUUCAAGCUUUGCUUGGUGUUGGGCGUUUUUUGUCUCCCUCUUUCUGGGAGACUCGCCUUAAAACGAUUGGCAGCCGGCCUACUGGUUUCGGAGCGCAGCACAUAUUUUGCGCUUUGUAUCAGGAGAAAAGGACGGUAAUCCAUCAAGACUCUACAUUUUUAACUUUUGACCUCGGAUCAGGUAGGGAUACCCGCUGAACUUAAGCAUAUCAAUUAAGCGGAGGAA
Molecule: ribosomal RNA, 591 nt
Filed under: Bipolaris sorokiniana
Lineage: Eukaryota; Fungi; Ascomycota; Dothideomycetes; Pleosporales; Pleosporaceae
Description: eukaryotic LSU rRNA
Rfam family: 5.8S ribosomal RNA (bases 205-358)
Source: RNAcentral